UUACAGCCAUACCAUGUUGAAACACAGGUUCCCGUAUGUUCAACGAGGUGAAGCACAAUCGAGCCUGCUCAGUAGCUGGGUGGCUUACCGCUUGGGAAUACCAGGUGGUGUAGG
This is a non-coding RNA of Acanthosepion pharaonis, 114 nucleotides long. The record is from the annotation of a GenBank genome assembly. Lineage: Eukaryota; Metazoa; Mollusca; Cephalopoda; Sepiida; Sepiidae.